Molecule: long non-coding RNA, 561 nt
Organism: Limulus polyphemus (Atlantic horseshoe crab)
Lineage: Eukaryota; Metazoa; Arthropoda; Merostomata; Xiphosura; Limulidae
Exons: 3
Source: RefSeq, a predicted model, not a curated record
UGAUGAAACAUUUUCUGGGAAAACUCGUUUCUCUCGUGAGUAUUUUCCUAUAAAAGGCAUUGAUAAGUCGAUAUUUCUAAGACUGUCUGAAACAUUCGACAAAAUUAGCAAGGGAAGUUGACUGAAAGAGAUGAAGAUUCAAUUCCUGGUUGUGUUCUUGGUUGCCGUCCUAGUGGAAGAAGCUUAUGCCAUUGUCGUCUGUGGAAAUGGGUUCAUCUGUAAUGACUUUCAAACUUGUUGCAAGAAACCUAAUGGCUUAUUUGGCUGUUGCCCAUAUCCCAGUGGCGUCUGUUGCUGUAAUAGAUUGACAUGUUGCCCUAAUCUACACUCGUGCUCAGCAGAUUCUUCGAGAUGUAUCGGCUGUCCAUCCCUUAUUGGUUCAAUUAAGACUGGUGAAGUGGACGCAACAACUUUCGGUGAUGCUCGGAAAUCUUAAGUUGAGCAUGAGAAAACCUUUUUUUUUUUCAUAACCUUCACUGUUUUGGUAUUUUUAUUCUAAAAUUAUUGUCUCUGUUUAUCCGAUAUUCUUUCUACGCACUAAUAAUAGUUAUAGAAUAAAGU